UUGGUCCUAGCCUUAUAAUUGGUUCGAGGUAAAAUUACACAUGCAAAUGUCCAUGGCCCAGUGUCAAAUCCCUUAAGAUUUAUUCUAAAUUGAAGGAGAGGGCAUCAAGUACAUCCAAUAGCUUAAGACCCCUUGCCUAGCCACACCCCCACGGGCCCCAGCAGUGAUAAAAAUUAAGCAAUAAACGAAAGUUUGACUAAGUUAAACUUCUAAGGGUUGGUAAAUUUCGUGCCAGCCACCACGGCCAUACGAUUAACCCAAAUUAAUUAAUUCGGCGUAAAACGUGUUAUUAUAACCCCAAAAUAGAAUUAAAAUUCAACUUAUAUGUGAAAAUUCAUUGUUGACACUAAAACCAAUGACGAAAGUAAUUCUACUACACUUAAUACACGAAAGCUAAGACCCAAACUGGGAUUAGAUACCCCACUAUGCUUAGCCGUAAACUAAAAUAAUUAAAUAACAAAAUUAUUUGCCAGAGGACUACUAGCUACAGCUUAAAACUCAAAGGACUUGGCGGUACUUUAUACCCAUCUAGAGGAGCCUGUUCUAUAAUCGAUAAACCCCGUUAUACCUUACCACCCCUUGCUAAUACAGCCUAUAUACCGCCAUCUUCAGCAAACCCUCAAAGGUACCAGAGUAAGCAAAACCAUACUCAUAAAAACGUUAGGUCAAGGUGUAGCCCAUGAGGUGGGAAGCAAUGGGCUACAUUUUCUUAAUAAGAACAUUCACGUUACCCCUCAUGAGAUCUGAGGGACAAAGGAGGAUUUAGAAGUAAAUUAAGAAUAGAGAGCUUAAUUGAAUAGAGCAAUGAAGUACGUACACACCGCCCGUCACCCUCCUCAAACUAGGGAAACCACACCUAAAUACAUAAUUACAUUAAAACCCCUACAAGAUGAGACAAGUCGUAACAAGGUAAGCAUACUGGAAAGUGUGCUUGGAAUAAUCAUAGCGUACGUUAACACCUAAAGCAUCUGGCCUACAUUUACAAC
This 986-nucleotide non-coding RNA is filed under the name Saccostomus sp. RNAcentral describes it as "12S ribosomal RNA". It matches the Rfam family "Bacterial small subunit ribosomal RNA". Lineage: Eukaryota; Metazoa; Chordata; Mammalia; Rodentia; Nesomyidae. The record is from RNAcentral.